Molecule: long non-coding RNA, 1517 nt
Filed under: Capsicum annuum
Lineage: Eukaryota; Viridiplantae; Streptophyta; Magnoliopsida; Solanales; Solanaceae
Description: long non-coding RNA (CANN_LNC016026)
Source: RNAcentral
UAGUCGUUGAUCCAAUCUUUUGGUGGAAUUGAGUUCUAUUGCAGAACUCUAGCUCCCAAGUGAACAUGAAACAAAGAAAACGAUAAAAAUUAGGAAUCUAUCAAUAAAAAAUAUGCAGGAGAUAAUGCAAACUAGGAGAAAGUAAUUUGAACAAGGGCAUAUUUAAAAGUGAGAUACACAUCCAAGACUCAAAUAGGUAUAUAACAUUCUGAGCAGUUUAUACAUUUGAAUAGGGGAGAUUAGUCAUAUAACUAAACACCAAAUAGAUUAAGUAAACACAUAACCAUGCCGAUUUUCUAAAAUCGCUAGGCAUAUUCACAACUGGACAUACACUAAGUGAGGCUUCAACCCAAAGGAUUCACAAGGGGAAUAUUUUAAGAUCAAAAUAACAUAUAGAUGGACGACAAACAAGAAGAGAAAUGGAGAUUAUCUUAAGAUGGACUGUGAAUCUUUUAUGAAAGUUUAGUCAUUUCCAACAUAAAAUUGUGAAUAUCAGAAACAAGCUUAACUUCCUAAUCCAAAAAGUGAUAGUGGCCAUAAGCGUUUUGAUGCAACAAAUGGACCAUUCAUCUAUAUGAAGGCAAAGAAAAAACUAUAUUAUUGAACAAACCACAACACCAAUAUGAACUUAAAGCCAAAGCACAUCAAAAUGGACAAAAGAGGUACACAAAUGUGAAACAAAAGAACUAACUAUUUGUGAAAGGGGAAUAAUAGAAUCAAGAAUAUAUGGAGAUCACUCUUAUGUACUUAAAACUACACAUGAAUCUGGUUGGCAGGUAAAACAAAUAGCAGUAACAAGAUGCGAUAAACACAAACAUAUUCACAAAUACUUGGCCGAAUGGGAAGACAAAGGAAUAUACAACAACUUUUACACUAUUUCGCUCCCAAUAGUUGCGAAUCUACCUUAGGAGAAAACAAACUUCAAAGUCAAUACACGCGCAAUAAAUGGCGGAACCAUGACCAAACUUGAAACCGAAGGCAAAGCACAUAUUUAUACACUUACAGACUUGCACAUUCAUAGGAAAAGUUAUUUUAUUUUCAGAAUUAAAAUAUACUCUUAUCCACAAAGUUAAAGAAAAAUAUUGUUCCCCAAAACAAAAAUAGAUGAAAGAUCAGACACACGAAGGAGAAACAGAGAACGGGUUUGCACCUUUUGUUGGGCAGCAAACCAAAGCUCCCAAGUCAAGACUCUUUCCGGCCACCAAACUCGAGUUUCAAUACUCAAACUUACACCGAAAAUAAGAUAAGAAACCAGAAAUUUUCAUGACUUUUCUUGUGAAUUUUUUUUGUGACUGUAAUCUGAAUUUUCUAAUCUCCAACCUUUUUUGUGUUCCACCUCUUCUCCCCUUUUCUCCGAUGUUUAACCCCGUCCUCAAAGGGGUCGGAAUUCAGCUAUUUAUAGCCAAAUCCGAACUUUAAAGUCCGGAUUUGAGACAAUGAAUAAGUAAAAAUGAGGGAAAAACAGACAAUUUGAAUUUUUGAAUUCAAAUUUCUAAAGAAAAUCCAUCGAUUUCAAC